This is a long non-coding RNA of Xiphophorus maculatus (southern platyfish), 558 nucleotides long. RefSeq lists it as uncharacterized. Lineage: Eukaryota; Metazoa; Chordata; Actinopteri; Cyprinodontiformes; Poeciliidae. The record is from RefSeq and is a predicted model, not a curated record. The transcript has 3 exons.
GCAGGGGGCGCUGGCGGAAAGUUUUACAAAAGGGGCGUGCUGAGACUCCUAUGGGGGGCGUUUGCUCCAAGGAUGCCUCCUGGACGUCUCCCUGGUGAGGCUUUCCAGGCAUGUCCCACUGGGAGGAGGCCCUGGGGAAGACCCAGGACACGCUGGAGGGAUGAUGUUUCUCAGCUGGCCUGGGAACGCCUUGGGAUUCCUCCAGAGAAACUGGAACAAGUGGUUGGGAAGAGGGAAGCCUGGGCCUCCCUUCUGAAGCUGCUACCCCCGCGACCUGACCCUGGUUCCCUCUCGGUGCCUCCCACCCUCCCGACUCCCAGUGGUCUGUUCGAUUAUUGGCACAUCAAAGUUCACCUGUAUGUGAACAUGGCCUUGAAAAGGGAUCAAGAGUUGAGGGCAGAAAAGGGAAAAAAGAAGAGACAGCAGGGUGAUAGUUGCAUGUCGUUUACAGUCUGUGACAAAAACCCAACAUUUUACAUGUGGUUAUUCACAGAUCAAUCAACAAUUUGCAGGUUUGAAUGAAUGACAAACUAAAAGAACUACAAAAGCAACAAAGUC